CUGUUUCUUGGAUUAAGAGAACAUCAAAGAUGGAGAUCUAGAUUUUGAAUCCUGGCCGUUUGUUUUGAUAAUAUAUACGUGUACGGUGCAGAUAAGCUGUCUAAAAUUCAGGUACUUAGUUAGAACUUAUUUGUCAGCGUUUGACGUUAGUAAAUUAAUUGAUUCUUCUUAUUUUUUAUAAAAUUGAAUGAUUCAAUUUCUUUAACUCUUAUAAAAAGUCAAAAGUUGACAAUUUUAUGUUUAAUCGCGAUAAUUUUAUAUAAAAUCACCAUAAAUUUAUAAAAUUGCUAAAAAUUCCACAAAUCAGAUGCCCGUGAAUUUCUCGUGUGCUAGUCUCUCACAAAAACCUGUAAAUUAAUCUGGACCAAAGAACUUCCGGUACAAAUUAGUUUCCAUAGAGUAUAUAAUGUAGAAGAAGAUUUGCUUGUGAACAUGUAAAGUUACAGAAUAAAUAGAAUCUUUGUUCCACUAGAUUAAGUACUAUCCAUAACUUCAUAUAUCCACAAUAGUACAGUUUUGAUCACUCAUGGAACAACAAUAUAAUUUAAUUUAAUAUGACCACCUAUAAUCUGCACAGAGAUGUAAAUUCACAGACCAAAAGAUCACAAAAAAAAAAAAAAAUGCAAGAUUUGCAUAACAACUUCACUUCCUUUGUGGAAGUUUCAGAUUUUCUCUUUUAACAGUUGAUUCCACAUUGCUGCACAUCAGGACCUGUUACGCUUGUAGUGAAUGGAUCAACUCUUACCCAUAAGAGAGAGAAAAUGGAAGCAAGGAGAAUAGACCAGACAACGACAAUGGUCGGUGUUCG
RNAcentral lists this long non-coding RNA (808 nucleotides) under Jatropha curcas. RNAcentral describes it as "long non-coding RNA (JCUR_LNC000558)". Lineage: Eukaryota; Viridiplantae; Streptophyta; Magnoliopsida; Malpighiales; Euphorbiaceae. The record is from RNAcentral.